GUUUACUAUUAUGUGGUCAUGAGGAAAUAAUGAACAAAGUAUAUUUUGUCAAAAAGAAAAAUAAGGAACAAAAUAUAGAAGAAUAAGUAAAGAACUGAAAGGUUCAUAAGCCACUGUUGACGAAACGCUUCAUUAAAAAAGAAAAUAAACUCUUAUUCACAAGCAUUAUGUUUGAAUAUCAUCCCAACAGCAAGAAGCCAUAAACAAUAACUGGAAGGGAACAAGAGU
This 228-nucleotide unclassified non-coding RNA is filed under the name Hevea brasiliensis (rubber tree). Lineage: Eukaryota; Viridiplantae; Streptophyta; Magnoliopsida; Malpighiales; Euphorbiaceae. The record is from RNAcentral.